Molecule: long non-coding RNA, 322 nt
Organism: Homo sapiens (human)
Lineage: Eukaryota; Metazoa; Chordata; Mammalia; Primates; Hominidae
Exons: 2
Source: RefSeq, a predicted model, not a curated record
UUUUGCACUUCUAAUGAGAGAAAAAGACACGUUGUCGCCUAUAAGUUGAAUAUGUUUAACUGCUUGCAGAGAAAUAUCUUGUUUGACUUCCAUUCAAAUCUCUUUAUAUUUCCCCUUCUUGUCCUCUGUACAGUCACUUCAAUUUUUUGUGUCAAAGGAUCUUCUGAUAUUAGCUCUACAGACUAGAUAAGAGCAUAAUGCCCUCAACUUGGAUCCAUCCAAAUUGUUGCUUGUAUCAAAGUUCCUGUCUUCCUGUGGUUACUGAAACAAUUUUUUGGUAUUUCAUUUUGAUGUUACUUUUUAAUAUAUCUCGUUGCAUAGA